This 291-nucleotide ribosomal RNA is filed under the name Triticum aestivum (bread wheat). RNAcentral describes it as "partial small subunit ribosomal RNA". Lineage: Eukaryota; Viridiplantae; Streptophyta; Magnoliopsida; Poales; Poaceae. The record is from RNAcentral.
AUGGUGCUGCAGAAGCUCGAGAAGCCCAAGCACAAGAAGAAGCGCCUCGCGCAGUCCCCCAACUCCUUCUUCAUGGGAUGUAAGUGCCAGGGCUGCUUCAACAUAACGACCGUGUUCAGCCACUCUCAGACCAUGGUGGUGUGCGCAGGGUGGCAGACGGUGCUCUGCCAGCCUACAGGAGGAAAGCGCGAGGGAUGCUCCUUCCACCGCAAAGGCAACACAAAGGGAGGGUUUGGUUCUCGUAGCAACUUUUGUCUGCAUUGCAUGCUUGACCUAGUUGGGCUUGGCUGA